AACGAACGCUGGCGGCAUGCCUAACACAUGCAAGUCGAACGAGACCUUCGGGUCUAGUGGCGCACGGGUGCGUAACGCGUGGGAACCUGCCCUUAGGUUCGGAAUACUCCCCGCAAGGGGUGCUAAUACCGGAUAAUGUCUUCGGACCAAAGAUUUAUCGCCUUUGGAUGGGCCCGCGUUGGAUUAGCUAGUUGGUAGGGUAAAAGCCUACCAAGGCGACGAUCCAUAGCUGGUCUGAGAGGAUGAUCAGCCACACUGGGACUGAGACACGGCCCAGACUCCUACGGGAGGCAGCAGUGGGGAAUAUUGGACAAUGGGCGAAAGCCUGAUCCAGCAAUGCCGCGUGAGUGAUGAAGGCCUUAGGGUUGUAAAGCUCUUUUACCCGGGAUGAUAAUGACAGUACCGGGAGAAUAAGCUCCGGCUAACUCCGUG
RNAcentral lists this ribosomal RNA (432 nucleotides) under uncultured bacterium. RNAcentral describes it as "partial 16S ribosomal RNA". It matches the Rfam family "Bacterial small subunit ribosomal RNA", at positions 29 to 507 of the family's 1533-position model. The record is from RNAcentral.